RNAcentral lists this ribosomal RNA (440 nucleotides) under uncultured bacterium. RNAcentral's name for it is "partial 16S ribosomal RNA". It matches the Rfam family "Bacterial small subunit ribosomal RNA", at positions 338 to 795 of the family's 1533-position model. The record is from RNAcentral.
CCUACGGGUGGCUGCAGUGGGGAAUAUUGCACAAUGGGGGAAACCCUGAUGCAGCGACGCCGCGUGAGGGAAGAAGUAUUUCGUUAUGUAAACUUCUUUCAGCAGGGAAGAAAAUGACGGUACCUGAGUAAUAAGCCCCGGCGAACUACGUGCCAGCAGCCGCGGUAAUACGUAGGGGGCAAGCGUUAUGCGGAUGUACGGGGUGUAAAGGGAGCGUAGACGGUGCGCCAAGUCUGAAGUGAAAUGCCGCAGCUUAACUGCGGAACUGCAUUGGAAACUGGCGAACUAGAGUGCGGGAGGGGUAAGCGGAAUACCUAGUGUAGCGGUGAAAUGCGUAGAUAGUAGGAGGAACACCAGUGGCGAAGGCGGCUUGCUGGACCGUAACUGACGUUGAGGCGCGAAAGCGUGGGGAGCAAACAGGAUUAGAUACCCGAGUAGUC